Molecule: non-coding RNA, 549 nt
Organism: Paramuricea clavata
Lineage: Eukaryota; Metazoa; Cnidaria; Anthozoa; Malacalcyonacea; Plexauridae
Source: the annotation of a GenBank genome assembly
CCCGAAUAUAAGCCCACCUGUGUAUAAGCCCACCACAUGUACUAACGCUCACCUCAUUCCAAAUAUAAGCCCACCCGAAUAUAAGCCAACCCAAAUAUAAGCCCAAUUGUUUAUCACUAUACAGGGUGUAUCAAAAAAAACUGAACAGAUUUGAAAUUGCUCUCAAUUUCGCAAAACACCGAUUUGUAUCCGGUUUUUUAUAGAUAUAGCUUCUUUGGGUACUUAUAGAAUGUAGAAUAAUGAAAAAAAUUUCUUGAACUCAAAUAUUGUGAACCAGGGGGGUGUGUCUUUUCCAACAAAAUAAAAAUGGCUUGCGCACAAAAUUUAAAAGCUGUAAUCAUAUUUUGAGUUAAUAGAUGGAACAUUUGUCGGAUUUUUAAUUACUGUACAAAAUUUCAGACAAUUUGGUUUAGUUUAAGCCGUUUAACUAUUCACGCAAACUUACAUUUUUCCUAAAAAUCAGCUAUUUGCAUGCUUAAUUAAUGCAUUUGCCUAAUUUGCAUAUGUUAGCAAUAUGCAAAUUAGGUAAAUGCAUUAAUUAAGCAUGCG